AAGACACAGUCCUAUGUUACCACAGCUGGAUUUCUGCUUUUUUUUUCUCCAAGAGAUCAUUAGCCGCAGUCACUGAGUUCUACCACAUGCUGCUGUUGUAAUCUGAUCCAGACUGGAGGCAGUACCAGAACAUCUGACUUCACCUGGGCUUCUGCUUCCAUGUGGUCUUGGGUGGCUUUCUUUACAUCGGCAGUCAGAAGGAGAAGAUUGCUUGUUUAGAGGAUAUUUUUGGUGUGUACCUGGUUGUUCCUGCUUCAGAUUUCAGAGUAAACUACACUGACCAUAGCUUAGUUGACCAUUUUGCUUGGAUCAGCCCCAUAUAAGUGCUGCCAGUCUUGCUUACUGGCUCUCACUGAGCACCAGGACCAAGGAAAAGCAGAUGAUGAUGAAAAGCCUCCUGCAUGGAUAACAGUGACUCAUCUCAUUUUCUUCUGCAAGAUUUUCUCUUUGGCUCUUAGUACCAGAUUUAAAGGUGAAAUACUUAACCUCUCUCUCAUACAUGUCCAAAGAUCUUGUUCUUCAAUUCUAAGCAAGUCUGAUACUGAUGGUGUGUUAUCCAUCAUUAACCAACUGUACAUGAACAGUUAUUUUUACAUGGUUAUUACAUCUUUGGUAAAAUAUUUGGUUGAGUAAGUAAGAAAACUAAGCAAAUAAAAUUAUGUUCUUCCAAAAUUUUCUGCUCUAAAUGUAAAGCUUUCCUUUUCUGCUUGUCCUAACUUUUGUCCUGAAGAACAAAUUUUUUGAAGUCAGACAAAAUAUAGCAAUUGUCCGAGUUCCAGUCGUAGGUGAAUUUAGGUACUGGGCUGUAAAACUUCAUUGUUCUUCUCUAAACAUUUUCAGUUGC
Molecule: long non-coding RNA, 844 nt
Organism: Pezoporus flaviventris
Lineage: Eukaryota; Metazoa; Chordata; Aves; Psittaciformes; Psittacidae
Exons: 3
Source: RefSeq, a predicted model, not a curated record